UUCAGUCACCGAAAACGCCGUUUAAGUGUGGACGAAAGGUGCAAACGCAUAGAAAAAUCUCCAUUUUCAAAAGUACCUGUGUACAUGUGUACAUAGCUCAAGAAUAAUAAGAACUCCUAAACAGGAGACUUUAAUUUUUAAGAACUGUUUAACAAAGGCUUGUUUGUGCCAACCUAAAUCUGCAGCACAGUUUAAAUUCUCACUUUGUGGAAAAUUAAUGAAAUAAACAACAGCCCACCUUCACAUAAAUAAAAUAUGGCAGUGUAUUAUUAUUAGAAUGGUACAUAGAUAUUUAUUUUAAAACUACAGCAUAUUUAAUGAUACUAUGUGCAGUUGAUAAUAUUUUAGGAAGUAGAAUUUGAAUGCAGACCACCUCAAAUAUUAAAGCCUUAAAAAUAUAUCGUGCAGUUUUUCAUGUAUGAGUGUUAUUGCAAUCUUAAAUGAGAUGUAGACCAAAGAAAACAGAGGAGAGUUGUUGUUGUUUGUAUUCCAGCUGCAGUAAACAAAGAAGUUUAGUGAAUCUUUUUGACAACAGAGAGUGAUGCAGUAUUGAUGCUGAUUUGAGUUUUCUGAUCCUGUAUUUUUGUUCUUUGUCUUUUGUUACACAGAGUGAAAUAAAGCUUGGUUUUGCCUUGCUGAGUGAAACAGAACUUCGGUUUUGCCUUUGCUGGAUACAGAUCUGGUCGUCUCAAGUCUGAGUGAACAGAUCUUUGGCUUUGCCUUUGCUGGUAAGUAGACAGUAAUGGUAAUGUUUAGUAAUUUACUUACAGUAGUUUGGCUAUUUGUGUUAUCUUGCCCUUCACUCAUGGGCAAAGACAAAUAGUCAGGAUUUAGAAUCUGUAGCAGCAAAGCCCCCACACAGGACCACUGACUGCCCCUGAAAAUGUCAAUGAAGUUUAAUAGCCCAUUAAUGUCUGAUUUUAAUUUUUGAUGGCUUAUCAAGUCCAAACAUAGUUAAAUGUCAGAGAUAUCUUUAUGCAGUUGUUCGAUUUCUCCUUAUGUUUGUGGAUUUAAGUGUGAGUAUAGGUGGUACCUUAAACACUUAAGAGCACCACAGCUAUCGAUUUUUAUUUUCUCUCUCAUUCCACUUAUGAAUUAGCAUGAAGUCAAAACGCUAGAAGUAUUUUGCCUGAGUGACUAAGGCUACGUUCACACUGCAGGCGAAAGCGCAUCAAAUCAGAUUUUUUUGUCAUGUUGGUAUCAGUG
Long non-coding RNA from Oreochromis niloticus (Nile tilapia), 1206 nucleotides. RefSeq lists it as uncharacterized. Lineage: Eukaryota; Metazoa; Chordata; Actinopteri; Cichliformes; Cichlidae. The transcript is spliced from 4 exons. The record is from RefSeq and is a predicted model, not a curated record.